Molecule: ribosomal RNA, 492 nt
Filed under: uncultured bacterium
Lineage: Bacteria
Description: partial 16S ribosomal RNA
Rfam family: Bacterial small subunit ribosomal RNA
Source: RNAcentral
AGUGAACGCUGGCGGUAGGCCUAACACAUGCAAGUCGAACGGCAGCACAGUAAGAGCUUGCUCUUACGGGUGGCGAGUGGCGGACGGGUGAGGAAUACAUCGGAAUCUACUUUUUCGUGGGGGAUAACGUAGGGAAACUUACGCUAAUACCGCAUAUGACCUACGGGUGAAAGCAGGGGAUCUUCGGACCUUGCGCGAUUGAAUGAGCCGAUGUCGGAUUAGCUAGUUGGCGGGGUAAAGGCCCACCAAGGCGACGAUCCGUAGCUGGUCUGAGAGGAUGAUCAGCCACACGGGAACUGAGACACGGUCCAGACUCCUACGGGAGGCAGCAGUGGGGAAUAUUGGACAAUGGGCGCAAGCCUGAUCCAGCCAUACCGCGUGGGUGAAGAAGGCCUUCGGGUUGUAAAGCCCUUUUGUUGGGAAAGAAAAGCAGCAGGUUAAUACCCCGCUGUUCUGACGGUACCCAAAGAAUAAGCACCGGCUAACUUCGUG